GACGAACGCUGGCGGCGUGCCUAAUACAUGCAAGUAGAACGCUGAAGAGAGGAGCUUGCUCUUCUUGGAUGAGUUGCGAACGGGUGAGUAACGCGUAGGUAACCUGCCUGGUAGCGGGGGAUAACUAUUGGAAACGAUAGCUGAUACCGCAUAAAAUUGAUUAUUGCAUGAUAAUUAAUUGAAAGAUGCAACUGCAUCACUACCAGAUGGACCUGCGUUGUAUUAGCUAGUUGGUGAGGUAACGGCUCACCAAGGCGACGAUACAUAGCCGACCUGAGAGGGUGAUCGGCCACACUGGGACUGAGACACGGCCCAGACUCCUACGGGAGGCAGCAGUAGGGAAUCUUCGGCAAUGGGGGGAACCCUGACCGAGCAACGCCGCGUGAGUGAAGAAGGUUGUCGGAUCGUAAAGCUCUGUUGUAAGAGAAGAACGGGUGUGAGAGUGGAAAGUUCACACUGUGACGGUAUCUUACCAGAAAGGGACGGCUAACUACGUG
Molecule: ribosomal RNA, 497 nt
Filed under: uncultured bacterium
Lineage: Bacteria
Description: partial 16S ribosomal RNA
Rfam family: Bacterial small subunit ribosomal RNA
Source: RNAcentral